AUCAGUUCGUUUCAAUAUUUCUUACGUUGUUACUUGUGAGUCCAAAAAGAACAGCCAGCACGCCACGCCACGCGUUAAUUCUUUGUCCGUUUCAGUCUCAAUUUCAACAUUCCUUCCCAUUUAUCUUCCCGGAAAAUCAAAUUCCCAAACCCUAACUAAUUGGGAAAAAAAAUAAAUUCACGAUGAACAUCUCGCUAAUCGCCGAUACAGCUACCAUAGCUGCACAACAAACCCUAUGUUCUGGAAACUCGCUGCUCCUCCAUCGCCAAAACCGCAUCAACCUCGCAGAUCAAUCCUCCCAAAUCUGCACCGUCAUCGUCGAUGUCUUGGCUUCGCCGCCUGUCAAAUCCAAGACCUCCCGUCGCACCAUCCUCCGGAAACGGCGGCGGACCAGGAGUAGAUCGAAAACUUAUGGAGAUGCCGGUGAUUGGGGAGAGGAGUAUGGUUUUUUUGGCGGUGGAGGCGGCUGGGGCGGUUUUGGUGGCGGCGGCAGGGGGUGGAAUUUCGAUAAAUUCGGAGGGCAUGAUUGGGAUGAAUCUUCGGGGUGGUUUUCCUCGCGGUCUUCGGAUUUUGCUUACGGGUUUGUUUAUGAGGUGAUUUAUUGGAUUGCCUUGUCGAAUUGUGUGCAUUUUGCGUUUAAGAAGGUUGUUAGGCUCGUGGCUGAUGGCAUUGGUGAUACCGAGAGAGGGAAAGUGGUGCCUUUGAGAUUGGGUACCAUUUGCUAAUUCGGUAACUGGAAGGGAAUUAUGCUUGAUAUUGGUUAAGAAUUUGCCAAUACAAGUCUUACUAUUGGAUACAAAUGUUGUCAACAAGGGCUAUUAUCUGGAGUGGGUGGAUAGUCAAGUAGUAUCUGGCACUUGAUCUAUUAUCUGUCAUGAAGAGUUAGACAGUGGUUACUCAAAGGCUUGGAAGAAUGGUAAUACAGCAGUUGAACAAGAGUUGAAAAACCACCCUGGCCUCUUAACUGUCUAACAAUGCUAUGUUGCAGCUAUGACCGCCCGAUGCCUGUAGACCACGGCAUUUGAUUGCUCUUUAAUUGCUUAUGUUACUUUUGCGCCAUAGCAUCUCUAUAGUUGAAGAUGAUGUAUCAGACGCCUUGCUGCCUAGAGGUUCUUUAAUUUCUUAUGUAAAGGGCUUGAAGCUCUGGUGCUGAUGAUGUUUUGGAUUGAGGCCUUUUGAUAAUAAGAUAUCAAUCAGCUUCCAUGUUGGAAAUUGGAGUGUUUUAAAUCUUGUGAGAGAAAGAUUUCCAAGAUUGUGGGGCAAUAAGAAAAAGUUUUUCAUGCUAGACGAUUGCAGUGAAUGGUAUGCAUCUGACCAGUUAGAACCAUUCUAAGACACUCAAAAGGCUGUUUCAGUAAUGUUCUAUUCUCCAAACUCCAUUCUUUGGAUUACAUAUCAUCGCACAUUUUCUUUCAUGAGCUGAUGGGUUUCUGCAGUUUUUUUCUCAAAUGUUCUCUUUUUUCUGGCGUGUUUUCUCUUUGUUUUUUUACAAUUGUGAACUGUUAAUCGCAUUUUCAGGUUUCAUUAAAGUGUUGCACGCUUGCUCCUUGUGUGGCGUUGCACACAUAUGCAGGUGCAGAUGCAUUUACUAAUUGGCUUUCAUGUGCCCUGCGCGAUAAGACCAAAUAGUCUGAUUAGAUUUUGUUGUGGUAGAUGCAGACAGUACAGUUUCACAAGUUUAUAUAUUCUGCAUAGGAACUGAACAUAAAUGUGGUAUGAUUGACCUGUUUGGAGCUGGGAAAUACUUGGUUACGCUUACAAUCCUGAAUAAUAACUUUAGAAUUCCAGGUCUCAAUUCUGCAUAGUUUUGAUGGAAGGAGUACGCAUCAAAUUCGUGGCAGUGAUCUACGAGAUGGGUUUUUGCAGUGGGAGCUCGCUGGAUGCUGCCAUGGAGAAAUAUCAAGGAUUAUCUCAUAGCAAAUAAGCAAUACUAUCAAUUGAUUUCUAGAAUGAUAAUAACUUUAUAUUGAUAUGGGAGUUUUAAUUAGGGACAACAAUGAUUGAGUUGGAGUUGGAUUUUGCUCCGUCCAAAAACAGUUUAAAGGAUUAUCUCAUUACAAAUAAGCAAUACGAAUUUCCAUAA
Molecule: RNA transcript, 2083 nt
Organism: Populus nigra (black poplar)
Lineage: Eukaryota; Viridiplantae; Streptophyta; Magnoliopsida; Malpighiales; Salicaceae
Exons: 4
Source: RefSeq, a predicted model, not a curated record